AUCCAUCAAGCUUGCUUGGUGGUGAGAGUGGCGAACGGGUGAGUAAUGCGUGACUAACCUGCCUUGUACUUUGGAAUAGCUCCUGGAAACGGGUGGUAAUGCCGAAUGUUCCACGUUAUCGCAUGAUGGUGUGGGAAAGGGUUUACUGGUAUGAGAUGGGGUCGCGUCCUAUCAGCUUGUUGGUGGGGUGAUGGCCUACCAAGGCUUCGACGGGUAGCCGGCCUGAGAGGGUGACCGGCCACAUUGGGACUGAGAUACGGCCCAGACUCCUACGGGAGGCAGCAGUGGGGAAUAUUGCACAAUGGGCGAAAGCCUGAUGCAGCGACGCCGCGUGCGGGAUGACGGCCUUCGGGUUGUAAACCGCUUUUAGCAAGGAGCAAGCGAGAGUGAGUGUACUUGUUGAAUAAGCGCCGGCUAACUACGUGCCAGCAGCCGCGGUAAUACGUAGGGCGCAAGCGUUAUCCGGAAUUAUUGGGCGUAAAGAGCUCGUAGGCGGUUUGUCGCGUCUGGUGUGAAAGUCCACUGCUUAACGGUGGAUUGGCGCCGGGUACGGGCAGGCUAGAGUGCAGUAGGGGAGACUGGAAUUCCCGGUGUAACGGUGGAAUGUGUAGAUAUCGGGAAGAACACCAAUGGCGAAGGCAGGUCUCUGGGCUGUUACUGACGCUGAGGAGCGAAAGCGUGGGGAGCGAACAGGAUUAGAUACCCUGGUAGUCCACGCUGUAAACGGUGGAUGCUGGAUGUGGGGCCCGUUCCGCGGGUUCUGUGUCGGAGCUAACGCGUUAAGCAUCCCGCCUGGGGAGUACGGCCGCAAGGUUAAAACUC
Molecule: ribosomal RNA, 822 nt
Filed under: uncultured Bifidobacterium sp.
Lineage: Bacteria; Bacillati; Actinomycetota; Actinomycetes; Bifidobacteriales; Bifidobacteriaceae
Description: bacterial SSU rRNA
Rfam family: Bacterial small subunit ribosomal RNA
Source: RNAcentral